ACACAAUUUCGGCUGGUGAAUUGGCUCUGAUACCAAAUGUAACGAUCCAGCCCACUAGCAACAAUAACUCGUUGGACCCAACCACUGGCCCAAAAUGCUUAAGCCCAGUUAUUAUUACUAAUGUCUAAGUCUCUUAUAUACCCAAUCACAUCACCAUUCCUAUCCGAUGUAGGAUUAUUGGGGUGUGACAGCAGAAAAAUUUAUCUUGUCUGGAAAAUCAUCUAUUUGUAUCCC
This 234-nucleotide long non-coding RNA is filed under the name Ananas comosus (pineapple). Its description in RNAcentral is "long non-coding RNA (ACOM_LNC044727)". The record is from RNAcentral. Lineage: Eukaryota; Viridiplantae; Streptophyta; Magnoliopsida; Poales; Bromeliaceae.